RNAcentral lists this ribosomal RNA (440 nucleotides) under uncultured bacterium. Its description in RNAcentral is "partial 16S ribosomal RNA". It matches the Rfam family "Bacterial small subunit ribosomal RNA", at positions 338 to 795 of the family's 1533-position model. The record is from RNAcentral.
CCUAGGGUGGCUCCAGUAGGGAAUAUUGGACAAUGGGCGAAAGCCUGAUCCAGCAACACCGCGUGCACGAUGACGGCCUUCGGGUUGUAAAGUGCUUUUAGAGGAGAUGAGAAAGGACAGUAUCCUCUGAAUAAGCCUCGGCGAACUACGUGCCAGCAGCCGCGGUAAAACGUAGGAGGCAAGCGUUAUCCGGAUUUAUUGGGCGUAAAGCGCGUGCAGGCGGUCUAGCAAGUUGGAUGUGAAAGCUCCCGGCUCAACUGGGAGAGGUCGUUCAAUACUGUUAGACUAGAGAAUAGGAGAGGGAGGUGGAAUUCCGGGUGUAGUGGUGAAAUGCGUAGAUAUCCGGAGGAACACCAGUGGCGAAAGCGGCCUCCUGGACUAUUUCUGACGCUAAGACGCGAAAGCUAGGGUAGCAAACGGGAUUAGAUACCCUCGUAGUC